This 468-nucleotide ribosomal RNA is filed under the name uncultured bacterium. RNAcentral's name for it is "partial 16S ribosomal RNA". It matches the Rfam family "Bacterial small subunit ribosomal RNA", at positions 28 to 507 of the family's 1533-position model. The record is from RNAcentral.
GACGAACGCUGGCGGCGUGCUUAACACAUGCAAGUCGAACGGAAAGGCCCUGCUUUUGUGGGGUGCUCGAGUGGCGAACGGGUGAGUAACACGUGAGUAACCUGCCCUUGACUUUGGGAUAACUUCAGGAAACUGGGGCUAAUACCGGAUAGGAGCUCCUGCUGCAUGGUGGGGGUUGGAAAGUUUCGGCGGUUGGUGAUGGACUCGCGGCUUAUCAGCUUGUUGGUGGGGUAGUGGCUUACCAAGGCUUUGACGGGUAGCCGGCCUGAGAGGGUGACCGGCCACAUUGGGACUGAGAUACGGCCCAGACUCCUACGGGAGGCAGCAGUGGGGAAUAUUGCACAAUGGGCGGAAGCCUGAUGCAGCAACGCCGCGUGCGGGAUGACGGCCUUCGGGUUGUAAACCGCUUUCGCCUGUGACGAAGCGUGAGUGGCGGUAAUGGGUAAAGAAGCACCGGCUAACUACGUG